UGAUGUCUCUACUGGUGGUGUGACACUUCUUUGUUCCCUCAGGAAGGAAGUCUCUCAGCUCACGCUUCAGACGACAGAGCGGAACAGCUACAAGUCUGAGACAUCUCCAAAAAGGAACUCCCCUGGGGAAAAGGAGUGCUGGAAGUAUAGGCUCAUAUGAGCUGUGUGGAGGUCUCCUAAUGCAAGCCUUUGUUGAUUCCCCAUUACACAGAGUUGUGGGUGAACGACGACACAGAUAAUAUAGAGCUGGAGGGAU
This is a long non-coding RNA of Salvelinus namaycush (lake trout), 256 nucleotides long. RefSeq lists it as uncharacterized. NCBI's taxonomy places the organism in Eukaryota, Metazoa, Chordata, Actinopteri, Salmoniformes, Salmonidae. The record is from RefSeq and is a predicted model, not a curated record. The transcript is spliced from 3 exons.